CCUAAGAAACCAUUUUCUCUAUUUAUUGUUUUAUUAAUGAGCCUAAGAGCCCAUUUUCUCUCCUUUUUGGAACUUCGUUUUAGAUUGGGAAAAUACACCCUGUAUUCAUAUUAAGGGAAGGGUGAAUGGGUAAAAUCACUUGACCUCAUUUUGCACUCGGUUGCGAAGCUAUUCAAUGAGGUUUACCCGAUCAAACCUCUGACCUGCGGUCGAUCGCCUCUCUCCCUCUUUCGACCACCGCCGUCUGGCUAUUCCAACGAGCAGAAACACCGAAUCCAUCCUCAUUAUGUUCAAUUUGGAUUUUGAAGGUAAAAGAUAAACCCUAUCAUUAUUACCUUUUCAUUCUCUCCUUCAAAUCUGAGACUUUGAUCUUUUAAAAUCCUUUUUCAAUCCUUCAAAUUCACACCUUAAAUUUCGCUGUCUGUCUCCAUUUACACCAUUAUCGAUCGUACUUCACUCCUCUUGUUUGCUCUGACGUUUGCCACCUGCUCCGUUAAUCAUGUUUGCUGUGUAUUGUUCUACUCAUCUUCGCCAUUUUUUUCUCGAUCGCCUUCGUCCCUACCAGGUUAUGCUCCACUCAACUUCUUGAGACAAAUUUUCUUAGCUUAGGUUCCAAUCCACUCCACUUUACUCCAGCUUUUGUAUUUAGAUCAGAUUGCUACAAUUGGGUAAAAUUUUAAAGUAAAAAGUAGGAAGCUUAAAAUUGUGCCGAUAACGAGCGUGCCGAGACAAAUGUUGAGAUUGAAAAAUUGAAGAUGUUAGUUGAGACGCAACCAAACAAUAUGAUGCUCAACAAAAAUAUGAGGAUGCUCAACAAAAGAAUGUGGAGUUUCAAUAGAAAAAUGUGGAUGUUCAAUCAAAAUUUGAACAACUUGCACAACCAAUGAAUGUGAUAGAAUAUUAUGUAUCGAAUAGCAUUUUAUGUUAAAUUUGUGGCGAAUUUUGAUUUUGAAAUAUGUAUCAUUUGACUUACUAGAUAUUUGUUUUAGCUUGUAUAGAAAUACUCUGUUACUUUUGGUUUUA
Long non-coding RNA from Lactuca sativa (garden lettuce), 1023 nucleotides. RefSeq lists it as uncharacterized. The record is from RefSeq and is a predicted model, not a curated record. Lineage: Eukaryota; Viridiplantae; Streptophyta; Magnoliopsida; Asterales; Asteraceae.